This 1829-nucleotide long non-coding RNA is filed under the name Homo sapiens (human). Its description in RNAcentral is "HSALNT0361272". The record is from RNAcentral. Lineage: Eukaryota; Metazoa; Chordata; Mammalia; Primates; Hominidae.
GAAAGCAUUGGGCAUAUCAGAGAGCAAUACUUGCCUCAUUUCCCACAACUCCCUGAAGGGCCAUUGUGUGUGUUCAUUAGUCUCUGAAAUUAAGAAAAAGACUCACAAAAGCAUUUAAGAAUGUUUGCUGAUGUUUUUAACCUUAUACAUGUUUUCUUAUCUGGCUUAACCAGUUUUGAAAGACAAGUGUUUCAUCGUCUUGAGAACGCUGACUUAUGAUGCCCUUGAUUGGCAUUAAGGAAACAAACUCUGGGAAAGAAUGAUGACGUCCUGUUAUAUUCUCAUCUUUGUAUUGCUCUCUCAAGGGCACCCAGUCUCCCUGGGGAGGUGAAGGCUACCUUUACAUGUCUUCCCAUCCAACUGGAGAGUGAAUCCAACAGGACAACUGCAGUGGACACCUGUCGAAGUAUCCUUACAGGUGCGGUCACAGCCUCCAUUGUUGACAGCACACGUUUCUGGCAAGGAGAAAUAUGGGGGAGGAGGAGCCAGAAGAAGAAACAGCUCGAAGAAUUGACUAUUGUUGCCUCUGGCAAAUGGGAUGAGGAAAUGGGAAGUUAUGAGACAAGGAAAUGAUGAGUUUCAUUACAAGCCUAGAAGUAAUUAAGCGUUUAUGUUACUCAUUUGUACUAUUUUCACUUAAGACAAUGAAAAUUUAUAAUUUCUAAAGAGCAGAAAAGAGCUCGGAAAGGUUACCUGCUUGGUAACCAAUGGCUGUAUGAUAUGUUGCCUGACUGUUAAAUCCAGAAACUGUCAAAAGAUGGGUUUUGUUUAGGUUGAGCCAGACUUUCUCCAGAAGGAGUAACGCACCAAAGGAUCUGUCUGACUCCCACCCCCAUGACCACCUCUAUUUCUGCUCAUCUCCAGCUUGACCGCUGGACCUUCAGGCAGGUCUUCCCUUGUCCCACAGCCAAGUGUUGCCCCUCUCCAUUCAUCUCUUCUACUAUUAUCAUCAGCUGAGUCAGAAAUAGAAGACUCAGUGGACACAAAAAAAGACUAGCUGCCAUUCUGAGCUAGAGGCUGCUUCAGAGGAAGACAGCUGACUUCACUGACCACCCACUCAGUCCCAGGCACUGGACUCUGGGCACCUUUCCAUAUUAUUAUCUUAAUUGAGCAUCCCAACUGAUAUGGCCAGGCUUUAUGUCCCCACUCAAAUCUCAUCCUGAAUUAUAAUCCCCAUAAUCCCCUCGUGUCAAGGGAGAGACCAGGUGGAGGUGAUUGGAUUAUGGGGGCGGUUCCCAUGCUGUUCUCAUGAUAGAGUGAGAUCAUGAGAUCUCAUGGUUUUACAAGUGUUUGGUAGUUCCUCCUGCAUUUAUUCUCCUUCCUGCCACCUUGUGAAGAAGGUACCUUGCUUCCCCUUUGCCUUCCACCAUGAUUAUAAGUUUCCUGAGGCCUCCCCAGCCAUGUGGAACUGUGAGUCAAUUAAGCCUCUUUCUUUAUCAAUUACCCAGUCUCAGGCAGUUCUUUACAGCAGUAUGAAAAUGGGCGAAUACCCUGGCCCUAAGAGGUAGACUUUAUUACAUCCAUUUCAAAGAAAGACCAAGAGACAGAGCCUCAGGGCAGUUUGCCAAGUCUUACAGCUAGGUGGGGGCUGCAUUGGGACGUUAACCUGAUUAUUCUGAUGGACACGAGACCAAGGGUCUUGCUUGGUUGGUGAUUAAGCAACAGCACUGGUGAAGAACAGACACACACCCUGGUUCACAGGAGCUGCUCACCCCAGUCCAGCUGGUCUGAGGGCAUGUGGCUCCCAAGUUCAGGUCUGAUGCAAUAAGUUGGGGAGGGAAAAGGACAAUUGCAGUGGCCAAGGAAAGGGAGUGAAGGUGCCUACCCAU